AGUGAACGCUGGCGGUAGGCCUAACACAUGCAAGUCGAACGGCAGCACAGGAGAGCUUGCUCUCUGGGUGGCGAGUGGCGGACGGGUGAGGAAUACAUCGGAAUCUACUCUGUCGUGGGGGAUAACGUAGGGAAACUUACGCUAAUACCGCAUACGACCUACGGGUGAAAGCAGGGGAUCUUCGGACCUUGCGCGAUUGAAUGAGCCGAUGUCGGAUUAGCUAGUUGGCGGGGUAAAGGCCCACCAAGGCGACGAUCCGUAGCUGGUCUGAGAGGAGGAUCAGCCACACUGGAACUGAGACACGGUCCAGACUCCUACGGGAGGCAGCAGUGGGGAAUAUUGGACAAUGGGCGCAAGCCUGAUCCAGCCAUACCGCGUGGGUGAAGAAGGCCUUCGGGUUGUAAAGCCCUUUUGUUGGGAAAGAAAUCCAGCUGGCUAAUACCCGGUUGGGAUGACGGUACCCAAAGAGUAAGCACCGACUAACUUCGUGCCAGCAGCCGCCGUAA
RNAcentral lists this ribosomal RNA (506 nucleotides) under uncultured bacterium. RNAcentral's name for it is "partial 16S ribosomal RNA". It matches the Rfam family "Bacterial small subunit ribosomal RNA", at positions 29 to 523 of the family's 1533-position model. The record is from RNAcentral.